GAUGAACGCUGGCGGCGUGCCUAAUACAUGCAAGUCGAGCGAACAGACGAGGAGCUUGUUCCUCUGACGUUAGCGGCGGACGGGUGAGUAACACGUGGAUAACCUACCUAUAAGACUGGGAUAACUUCGGGAAACCGGAGCUAAUACCGGAUAAUAUAUUGAACCGCAUGGUUCAAUAGUGAAAGACGGUUUUGCUGUCACUUAUAGAUGGAUCCGCGCCGCAUUAGCUAGUUGGUAAGGUAACAGCUUACCAAGGCAACGAUGCGUAGCCGACCUGAGAGGGUGAUCGGCCACACUGGAACUGAGACACGGUCCAGACUCCUACGGGAGGCAGCAGUAGGGAAUCUUCCGCAAUGGGCGAAAGCCUGACGGAGCAACGCCGCGUGAGUGAUGAAGGUCUUCGGAUCGUAAAACUCUGUUAUUAGGGAAGAACAAAUGUGUAAGUAACUAUGCACGUCUUGACGGUACCUAAUCAGAAAGCCACGGCUAACUACGUG
This 497-nucleotide ribosomal RNA is filed under the name uncultured bacterium. RNAcentral's name for it is "partial 16S ribosomal RNA". It matches the Rfam family "Bacterial small subunit ribosomal RNA", at positions 28 to 507 of the family's 1533-position model. The record is from RNAcentral.